Molecule: transfer RNA, 67 nt
Filed under: Pirenella pupiformis
Lineage: Eukaryota; Metazoa; Mollusca; Gastropoda; Potamididae
Description: tRNA-His
Rfam family: tRNA
About the family: Transfer RNA (tRNA) molecules are approximately 80 nucleotides in length. Their secondary structure includes four short double-helical elements and three loops (D, anti-codon, and T loops).
Source: RNAcentral
GUUAGAUUAGUUUAAGACCAAAACAUUAGCUUGUGGCGCUAAGGAUAAAAUAAAUUUUUAUCUAACU